AAGGUGGGAGGGAAGCGAGCAAGCGAACAAAGCCAAGGGAGGCGUGAGCGGUCUCGUGAGACGCACGGAAUCUAACGAGAGGGUACUACGUCGCGACUACGCUGCUGCUGGCGGUGGUGGUGGUGCUGGUGGCGGUGGUGGCGGAACGAGGUCUGCCAUGACUCCUGCUGCUCUGCCAGUCUCGGACGCUGAGGUGGGGCGCAAAACAAGGCAAAAAGGAGAGCAAAACAAGGCAGAGCAGGGGGGAACAGCGUGUGGCAGCAGCAACCCAUGCAUGAGAUCGCCGCGGCGUCUACAUCAGAGCCGCACAGUAGUACUGCAAACGAUACGUAGAACUGCCACAGCAAACAAAGAAAGGAGAACGGUCCUCUGAACGAUUAAGCAUUCAGGUGUGGCAGCUCUAGUAGCUCUAACAUUGUUGGUCUUCUGCAGGACCUUUGUAAUAUAUUGUGGCAGUCGAAAUUAAGGAGCAGGUUCUCGCACGCCCGCCUCCGAGCUCGAACCCGGUUAACCUGGCCAGGUCAAAUCAAGAGUCCCAAUAGCAUGUGCCGGAUGGGGUCCAGCCCACCGCCCCGGUGGGACCCAGCGACGGCUCCACCGAACUACCUACCGCAUGGUCGAAACCACCGCCGGGGGCCACACAUGAAUCCCGCUCAUCACCGGGCCCCAUCGAACGAUGCAUAUCCAAGUUACUGUUGUCUUAUUUAGUCCUAUGUGUAUGAUCGUUGUUACUCAUGUUUGUUCCGGACAAGGCGAUAAAGACCGGUGACGGAUCUUAUCAUCUGAUUUGUGUGGAGGAUAUAAAGAGAUGUUGACUCUUUAAAAAUGUUCAGAUUUAUUCUCAUA
Long non-coding RNA from Musa acuminata AAA Group (dessert banana), 846 nucleotides. RefSeq lists it as uncharacterized. NCBI's taxonomy places the organism in Eukaryota, Viridiplantae, Streptophyta, Magnoliopsida, Zingiberales, Musaceae. The record is from RefSeq and is a predicted model, not a curated record. The transcript has 2 exons.